UUGAUGGUCACAUCAGUAGAUAGUGGACAUCUGUUUUGCUCGGGGAGCAGCGUUGGUCUUUAUGUGACUAGAUUAUCCAUUCAUUAAGGAGAAUAUCACUGCAAUGAGACCAUUAAACUGGAGAUGUUAAGAGACAACAGCUUGUCCCUAAGGAUGUAAUUUAAUUCCAGAUUGGGGCAGUAAAGCACCUAAAUACCUGCUGCCCUUUGUUUUUCGAUCAAAGUUGUUUGACUUGAGGGGAUCAAGUAAGUGUUGGGUGGGGUUUAGACAGGAUGGAACUGUCCAACGUGAGCCGUCCAACAUGCCUCCAUAAAUUGGGGUCACGUCUCAUGAGAAAAUCAGAUGUUCACUAGACCUGAGAGAGGUUAGCAGAAGAUAGAGAAGACCUUAGAGAGACAGAAGGAAACGUAAGGGCAGAACAGGAGGAGCACGGACACUGAAGCCACUAUGAGAAGGUUAUAUUCUCCUGCUGUACUGCUGCCAGUUCUGCUGCUGUGUGCUGUGUGUAGUGUGUCAGACGUACAGGCUGAUGUGGGGACCGUCAAGCUGUGUGGCCGAGAGUUCAUCCGUGCCGUCGUCUACACGUGUGGGGGCUCCAGGUGGAGGAGGUUCAGCAGUCCGCAGGAUAUGGAAGGGUUUUUUAAUGGAGAUCUAAGCAGCCCUGAGGAUCCUAGUGAGAGUCUGGGAUCUGACCUGACCAGGCGAGACCUUAAUGGUUGUUGUCAGUUUGGCUGCAAGAAAAGUGACCUCACGUUGCUCUGCUGAGGACUGAACUUGCGUUUUCUAUUUGUCUCACUAUGUUUUCUUCCAAGUUGACUUCAGAUGAAUAUGAACGCUUCUCUAUAAAGUGUACAGUCAGUAGGAGUUCAUAUAACAACUUAAUUUGCCAAUAGAUUAUGCUAAUUUACAUAAAAAGCCUGUCUGUCUUAGAUCAUUCUGCUACACUUGUGCUUUAAACUGCACCAUGAAAAGAGGUUGAAUAUCAACAAUGAAAUUGUGUUGAGGUGCAGAGCAGUAAUUGUGGCGAUUAAGUUGUUUUAAUUGUAAAUUGUAUUUUGUGAAUAAACAUUAAUGCAAAUGCA
Ctenopharyngodon idella (grass carp) is the source of this 1082-nucleotide long non-coding RNA. RefSeq lists it as uncharacterized. The record is from RefSeq and is a predicted model, not a curated record. The transcript is spliced from 2 exons. NCBI's taxonomy places the organism in Eukaryota, Metazoa, Chordata, Actinopteri, Cypriniformes, Xenocyprididae.